This 562-nucleotide ribosomal RNA is filed under the name uncultured bacterium. Its description in RNAcentral is "bacterial SSU rRNA". It matches the Rfam family "Bacterial small subunit ribosomal RNA", at positions 338 to 916 of the family's 1533-position model. The record is from RNAcentral.
CCUACGGGAGGCAGCAGUGGGGAAUUUUGCGCAAUGGGGGAAACCCUGACGCAGCAACGCCGCGUGGAGGAUGAAGUCUCUUGGGACGUAAACUCCUUUCGAUCGGGACGAUAAUGACGGUACCGGAAGAAGAAGCCCCGGCUAACUUCGUGCCAGCAGCCGCGGUAAUACGUAGGGUGCGAGCGUUAAUCGGAAUUACUGGGCGUAAAGCGUGCGCAGGCGGUUUUGUAAGACCGAUGUGAAAUCCCCGGGCUUAACCUGGGAACUGCAUUGGUGACUGCAAGGCUUGAGUAUGGCAGAGGGGGGUAGAAUUCCACGUGUAGCAGUGAAAUGCGUAGAGAUGUGGAGGAAUACCGAUGGCGAAGGCAGCCCCCUGGGUCAAUACUGACGCUCAUGCACGAAAGCGUGGGGAGCAAACAGGAUUAGAUACCCCGGUAGUCCACGCCGUAAACGAUGAGUGCUAAGUGUUAGAGGGUUUCCGCCCUUUAGUGCUGCAGCUAACGCAUUAAGCACUCCGCCUGGGGAGUACGGCCGCAAGGCUGAAACUCAAAGGAAUUGACGG